This 189-nucleotide ribosomal RNA is filed under the name Plectus sp. RNAcentral's name for it is "partial small subunit ribosomal RNA". The record is from RNAcentral. Lineage: Eukaryota; Metazoa; Nematoda; Chromadorea; Plectida; Plectidae.
CGGUGUCUUGGGUGGCUAGCGAGUUUACUUUGAAAAAAUUAGAGUGCUUAACACAGGCUAACGCCUGAAUACUCGUGCAUGGAAUAAUAGAAUAAGACCACGGNUCUAGAUCGGUGCGCGGUAUUUGGNGUAGCUGUGUGUGCACACUUUUUAUUUCAAGUNUCAUUGCACCCACANACCACCUACUGU